RNAcentral lists this ribosomal RNA (866 nucleotides) under uncultured bacterium. RNAcentral's name for it is "bacterial SSU rRNA". It matches the Rfam family "Bacterial small subunit ribosomal RNA", at positions 47 to 885 of the family's 1533-position model. The record is from RNAcentral.
CUUAACACAUGCAAGUCGAACGAGAAACCUCGAGCUUGCUCGAGGGAGUAAAGUGGCGCACGGGUGAGUAACACGUGGAUAACCUACCCCCGAAUCUGGGAUAACUUCGCGAAAGCGUUGCUAAUACCGGAUAUUGUCCUAUUGGUUGUGACCUUUGCGAUGAAAGGCAACCUCUUCAUGAAAGUUGUCGUUCAGGGAUGGGCCCGCGUACCAUUAGCUUGUUGGUGGGGUAACGGCUCACCAAGGCUACGAUGGUUAGCUGGUCUGAGAGGAUGAUCAGCCACACUGGAACUGAAACACGGUCCAGACUCCUACGGGAGGCAGCAGUGGGGAAUUUUGCGCAAUGGGGGAAACCCUGACGCAGCAACGCCGCGUGAGUGAAGAAGGCUUUCGGGUCGUAAAGCUCUGUCAAGUGGGAAAAAAGUCUGAUGAUUAAUAGUUGUCAGAUUUGAUGGUACCACUGGAGGAAGCACCGGCUAACUCCGUGCCAGCAGCCGCGGUAAUACGGAGGGUGCAAGCGUUGUUCGGAAUUACUGGGCGUAAAGGGCGUGCAGGCGGGUUGGUAAGUCAGAUGUGAAAGCCCUGGGCUCAACCCAGGAAGUGCAUUUGAAACUGCCAUCCUAGAGUAUGGGAGAGGAGAGUGGAAUUCCCAAUGUAGAGGUGAAAUUCGUAGAUAUUGGGAGGAACACCCGUGGCGAAGGCGACUCUCUGGACCAAUACUGACGCUGAGACGCGAAAGCGUGGGGAGCAAACAGGAUUAGAUACCCUGGUAGUCCACGCUGUAAACGAUGAGAACUAGGUGUAGCGGGUAUUGACCCCUGCUGUGCCGAAGUUAACGCAUUAAGUUCUCCGCCUGGGGAGUACGG